CAGCCAGGCAGCUGGAGGGUGAAAGCCAUGCGACAGCUCCUCCUGGCGCCUGAGGCCUCACUUGACCCGCUUGCUGCAG
Molecule: microRNA precursor, 79 nt
Filed under: Mus pahari (shrew mouse)
Lineage: Eukaryota; Metazoa; Chordata; Mammalia; Rodentia; Muridae
Description: microRNA 6939 (MGP_PahariEiJ_G0007700.1)
Source: RNAcentral